RNAcentral lists this unclassified non-coding RNA (18 nucleotides) under Chlamydomonas reinhardtii. RNAcentral describes it as "small RNA Cre_1654". Lineage: Eukaryota; Viridiplantae; Chlorophyta; Chlorophyceae; Chlamydomonadales; Chlamydomonadaceae. The record is from RNAcentral.
GCAAGGUGUUCCGUAGGG